GCAGGGAAGAGGAUUUGGAAUUUAUUAGGGUCACAAGCACCCCUGCCUUCCAUAUUCAGCAUGCCUGAGCCACACACUGCCAUCUCUUUUGUAGCCUGGGAACUUAGCGUCCUCAUCAGCAGGAGGCCAGGCAGUGGUGGGGGAGUGAGCAGAGUCCGGCUUCCAGCAGGCGGUUACAUGAAAAGACCUCCUGAGAGGGGUUGAAGCAUCGGGACAGGUGCAUGGGUGGGGAUGUAGGCACCCACUUCUGUCCCUGGUCUAAAGAAGGGAUCUCUCUGCCCUUCAGGCUGCAGGGUCCCCUCACUUUCUCACACAGCCCGGGUUCUGUUUUCCGGUCCUCCUCCCCAUGAAGGCCUCAUACCACUGACUUCCACGGAGGCCCCUGUGAUGUAUCCACUGUCUUCUGAUGCCAGGAACGCAACCACAUCUGCUACAUCUAUGGGGAUGGUGGGGGAAGGGCAGUCUCACUUCCUUAGAUCCAGACUGGCUAUAUCCCCACUCCCCUCAAAAAAAACCCCAACCCCUAAACCUACACCAAUCAUUAAUCCCUGUGCGACCUUUUCAAGACUAUUACAGAUUUAAGGCUCUGUUCAAGCCCCCUCAGAUCCUUCUCCCAAUCCAUGCUCACCCUCAGGGUCCCCCAUGUGUCCCAACGGAAUCAUUGCAGUUACCUGUAAAGAAACACGUGGGUAAAACUUUCUUUUAUGGACUCCCUCCCACCCCUUACUUUUUCA
This 734-nucleotide long non-coding RNA is filed under the name Rattus norvegicus (Norway rat). RNAcentral describes it as "long non-coding RNA NONRATT017064". The record is from RNAcentral. Lineage: Eukaryota; Metazoa; Chordata; Mammalia; Rodentia; Muridae.